ACCUCCGUAAGAGAAAAUCCUGAGCGGUUACAGGAGCACCUUGUCUGCUUGUGUAGCCCAGAGAUGGAUGGGGGGGCGGGGCCAACGCAAUUCACGCGUUUCGCUUGUAAAGCUCGAUCAUGGUAGAUUCCUGUGACUUUCUUUUAAACUGCCAAUCAUUUACAAGCAAACCCAUGCCAAAACCAAUAUCAGAGUUCAGCCUGCAACUCGCACCUCUGGCCAACUCGGACAGCAUUACUUCUGGCCUUGUGUCUGUCAAAAUGUUCCCAGUAAAAAAAAUUACAAUGUUAACAUUCUGAAUGUCAGUAUAACGAAUGCAUAACGUUCCUUUCAUAAUGUGGCAAAAUCACUGCGUUUUAGCAGAGGUUUGCCAGGACAUGGACUGAGGACUGCAGGUAACAGCAUGCUCCAAAUAUGGCAGGGACUGCUGAAAAGAUGACACCACCAUCAUUGGCUUAAUCAAGGACGAAGACCAAUCUGCCUACAGACGCGAAGUGGAACGGCUAACACAGUGGUGCAGCAGGAACAACCUUGACCUAAAUCCCCUCAAAACAGUUAAGAUGGUGGUGGACUUCAGAAGGAAAACCAAUGCCAUGCUACCCCUCGUAAUAGCCGACAACCUGGUUUCGUGGGUCACUCCUUCAAAUUCCUAGGGUCAAAAAUUUCCUGAGAACCCAAGAUAAGCACUGUCGUAAAGAAAGGCUCAUAAGUGGAAGUUCUCUCUGAGGCAACUCAGGAAAUUCAACAUCCCGCAGAAGCUGCUGCUCAUCUUCUACACAGUGAUCGUAGAACCAGUCCUAUGUUCCUCGAUCACAGUCUGGUAUGGAGUUGCCAAUGAGAGUGACAGAGGCAAAGGGUGGUGAGGACAGCUGAAAAGAUUGUUGGGGCUGACCUCCCUCCCGUCCAGGAAUCAUACCAAUCAAGGGUCAGGAAGCGAGCGGAGAAAAUCGUGGCAGAUAUGCAGCACCCAGGUCACAAACUGUUUGAACUGCUUCCAUCAGGCAUACGCUACAGAUUUGAAUUUAGGGAAAAAAGAGAAAUCACGCGGUGCUAGGUCUGGCGAGUACAGAACAUGUUCUAGCACUGCAAUCUGUUUCUCAGCCAAAAACUGCUUCAAAGAGAGAAUUGUGUGUGUUGUUCUGAAGGAGGAUGAAACCAUUUUUCCACAACUCUCACCACUUUCUUUUGAUUCUUUCACGUUAAGUUUCUAGAAAAUGUUUGUUGUAAUGUUGAUUCAUUCUGGUUCCCAGUCCGCCAAAAUAACACCCUUGACAUCAAAGAAAAUAAUUAACAUGGCAUUGAAUUUGGAUAA
Molecule: long non-coding RNA, 1312 nt
Organism: Pseudophryne corroboree (corroboree frog)
Lineage: Eukaryota; Metazoa; Chordata; Amphibia; Anura; Myobatrachidae
Exons: 3
Source: RefSeq, a predicted model, not a curated record